UGCAAGUCGAGCGGCAGCGGGAGGAAGCUUGCUUCCUCGCCGGCGAGCGGCGGACGGGUGAGUAAUGUCUGGGGAUCUGCCCGAUGGAGGGGGAUAACCACUGGAAACGGUGGCUAAUACCGCAUAACGUCGCAAGACCAAAGUGGGGGACCUUCGGGCCUCACACCAUCGGAUGAACCCAGAUGGGAUUAGCUAGUAGGUGGGGUAAUGGCUCACCUAGGCGACGAUCCCUAGCUGGUCUGAGAGGAUGACCAGCCACACUGGAACUGAGACACGGUCCAGACUCCUACGGGAGGCAGCAGUGGGGAAUAUUGCACAAUGGGCGCAAGCCUGAUGCAGCCAUGCCGCGUGUGUGAAGAAGGCCUUCGGGUUGUAAAGCACUUUCAGCGAGGAGGAAGGUGGUGAGCUUAAUACGCUCAUCAAUUGACGUUACUCGCAGAAGAAGCACCGGCUAACUCCGUGCCAGCAGCCGCGGUAAUACGGAGGGUGCAAGCGUUAAUCGGAAUUACUGGGCGUAAAGCGCACGCAGGCGGUUUGUUAAGUCAGAUGUGAAAUCCCCGAGCUUAACUUGGGAACUGCAUUUGAAACUGGCAAGCUAGAGUCUCGUAGAGGGGGGUAGAAUUCCAGGUGUAGCGGUGAAAUGCGUAGAGAUCUGGAGGAAUACCGGUGGCGAAGGCGGCCCCCUGGACGAAGACUGACGCUCAGGUGCGAAAGCGUGGGGAGCAAACAGGAUUAGAUACCCUGGUAGUCCACGCCGUAAACGAUGUCGAUUUGGAGGUUGUGCCCUUGAGGCGUGGCUUCCGGAGCUAACGCGUUAAAUCGACCGCCUGGGGAGUACGGCCGCAAGGUUAAACUCAAAUGAAUUGACGGGGGCCCGCACAAGCGGGGGAGCAUGUGGUUAAUUCGAUGCACGCGAAAACCUUACUACUCUUGACUCCAAAGACUUACCAGAGAUGCUUGGGUGCUUCGGAACUCUGAAAAGGGGCUGCAUGCUGU
This 996-nucleotide ribosomal RNA is filed under the name Serratia rubidaea. Its description in RNAcentral is "bacterial SSU rRNA". It matches the Rfam family "Bacterial small subunit ribosomal RNA", at positions 56 to 1052 of the family's 1533-position model. Lineage: Bacteria; Pseudomonadati; Pseudomonadota; Gammaproteobacteria; Enterobacterales; Yersiniaceae. The record is from RNAcentral.